UGAGUCAGCCGGAUGGUCGCGGCGCAGCGCCUAAAGGCACGCGCUGAGGAAAGUCCGGGCUCUUAGGGCAGGAUGCCGGUUAACGGCCGGUGAAGGCAACUUCAAGGAUAGUGCAACAGAAAUAGACAGCCGGGCUUGUCCCGGUUACGGUGGAAAGGUGAGGUAAGAGCUCACCGGCGCCGCGGCGACGCGGCGGCCAUGCAAACCCCAUCCGGAGCAACGCCGUGGAGGAACAACUGUCGCCCGCAGGUUCCAUGGAGGCGGCUUGAGCCUUUCGGCAACGAAAGGUCGAGAUAAAUGGCCAUUCAAGACAGGACCCGGCUUAUAGGCUGGCUCAGCUA
Molecule: RNase P RNA, 341 nt
Filed under: Clostridiaceae bacterium
Lineage: Bacteria; Bacillati; Bacillota; Clostridia; Eubacteriales; Clostridiaceae
Description: RNase P RNA component class A
Rfam family: Bacterial RNase P class A
About the family: Ribonuclease P (RNase P) is a ubiquitous endoribonuclease, found in archaea, bacteria and eukarya as well as chloroplasts and mitochondria. Its best characterised activity is the generation of mature 5'-ends of tRNAs by cleaving the 5'-leader elements of precursor-tRNAs. Cellular RNase Ps are ribonucleoproteins.
Source: RNAcentral